GAUACGACCGUACCGCAAACCGACACUGGUGCGCGAGAUGAGUAUUCUAAGGCGCUUGAGAGAACUCAGGAGAAGGAACUUGGCAAAUUGACACCGUAACUUCGGAAGAAGGUGUGCCCUAUUAGUGUGUAGUGAACAACGAAGCAUGAAUGGGUUGCAAAAAAUCGGUGGCUGCGACUGUUUAUUAAAAACACAGCACUCUGCAAACACGAAAGUGGACGUAUAGGGUGUGACGCCUGCCCGGUGCUGGAAGAUUAAAUGAUGGGGUGCAAGCUCUUGAUUGAAGUCCCAGUAAACGGCGGCCGUAACUAUAACGGUCCUAAGGUAGCGAAAUUCCUUGUCGGGUAAGUUCCGACCUGCACGAAUGGCGUAACGAUGGCCACACUGUCUCCUCCUGAGACUCAGCGAAGUUGAAAUUUUGUGAUGAUGCAAUCUCCCCGCGGAAAGACGGAAAGACCCCAUGAACCUUUACUGUAGCUUUGUAUUGGACUUUGAACAGAUCUGUGUAGGAUAGGUGGGAGGCUUUGAAGCAGGGUCGCUAGAUCUUGUGGAGCCAACGUUGAAAUACCACCCUGGUGUGUUUGAGGUUCUAACCUAGGUCCAUUAUCUGGAUCGGGGACAGUGCAUGGUAGGCAGUUUUGACUGGGGCGGUCUCCUCCCAAAGCGUAACGGAGGAGUUCGAAGGUACGCUAGUUACGGUCGGACAUCGUGACGAUAGUGCAAUGGCAUAAGCGUGCUUAACUGCGAGACUGACAAGUCGAGCAGAUGCGAAAGCAGGACAUAGUGAUCCGGUGGUUCUGUAUGGAAGGGCCAUCGCUCGACGGAUAAAAGGUACUCUGGGGAUAACAGGCUGAUACCGCCCAAGAGUUCAUAUCGACGGCGGUGUUUGGCACCUCGAUGUCGGCUCAUCUCAUCCUGGGGCUGUAGCCGGUCCCAAGGGUAUGGCUGUUCGCCAUUUAAAGAGGUACGUGAGCUGGGUUUAAAACGUCGUGAGACAGUUUGGUCCCUAUCUUCCGUGGGCGCUGCAGAUUUGAGGAAGCCUGCUCCUAGUACGAGAGGACCGGAGUGGACACACCUCUGGUGUAUCGGUUGUCACGCCAGUGGCAUUGCCGAGUAGCUAAGUGUGGAAGAGAUAACCGCUGAAAGCAUCUAAGCGGGAAACUCGUUUCAAGAUGAGAUCUGCCGGGGCCUUGAGCCCCCUAAAGAGUCGUUCAAGACCAGGACGUUGAUAGGUCAGGUGUGGAAGUG
RNAcentral lists this ribosomal RNA (1248 nucleotides) under metagenome. Its description in RNAcentral is "bacterial LSU rRNA". It matches the Rfam family "Bacterial large subunit ribosomal RNA", at positions 1635 to 2875 of the family's 2925-position model. The record is from RNAcentral.